This is a long non-coding RNA of Triticum dicoccoides, 317 nucleotides long. RefSeq lists it as uncharacterized. NCBI's taxonomy places the organism in Eukaryota, Viridiplantae, Streptophyta, Magnoliopsida, Poales, Poaceae. The record is from RefSeq and is a predicted model, not a curated record. The transcript has 3 exons.
GGUACCCUCUUAUCUGCUCUUGCGGAACUAGGCCAUCAGUCUACCAUAGAUGAGGUUGUCCGUUGAUUUAAUGUCUUUCUGGAAGACAGAGAGACGCCACUCCUCCCACCAGAUGUUCGAAAGGCUGCAUAUGUUGCACUGAUGCAGACCGUGAACAAGUCAAACAAAAGUGGAUAUGAAUCUCUCCUGAAGAUUUACAGGGAAACUGAUCUGAGCCAGGAAAAAGUCUGUGUGCUUGGUUCUUUGGCAUCGUCCCCUGACCCUGAUGUUGUUCGUGAAGCGCUAAAUUUCCUGCUAUCGUCUGAGGUAACAAGGAA